Molecule: small nucleolar RNA, 107 nt
Organism: Dendrobium catenatum
Lineage: Eukaryota; Viridiplantae; Streptophyta; Magnoliopsida; Asparagales; Orchidaceae
Source: RefSeq, a predicted model, not a curated record
AAGGUAUGGUGAGGGCACUUUCUAAGCAUCUCCUUGAAUCUCUUCCAACUCCCAUAAAUAGAUUCUUCUUCUAAUUGAGUAAAAGAAGUAAUACCAUUUCUAAGUUU